GAUGAACGCUAGCGGCAGGCCUAAUACAUGCAAGUCGGACGGGAUCCAUCGGUAGCUUGCUAUCCAUGGUGAGAGUGGCGCACGGGUGCGUAACGCGUGAGCAACCUGCCUCCAUCAGGGGGAUAGCCUCUCGAAAGAGAGAUUAACACCGCAUAACAUAUCAGACCGGCAUCGGUCGGAUAUCAAAUAUUUAUAGGAUGGAGAUGGGCUCGCGUGACAUUAGCUUGUUGGUGGGGUAACGGCCCACCAAGGCGACGAUGUCUAGGGGCUCUGAGAGGAGAAUCCCCCACACUGGUACUGGGACACGGACCAGACUCCUACGGGAGGCAGCAGUAAGGAAUAUUGGUCAAUGGGCGGAAGCCUGAACCAGCCAUGCCGCGUGCAGGAUGACUGCCCUAUGGGUUGUAAACUGCUUUUGUCCGGGAAUAAACCUCCUUACGUGUAGGGAGCUGAAUGUACCGGAAGAAUAAGGAUCGGCUAACUCCGUG
This 488-nucleotide ribosomal RNA is filed under the name uncultured bacterium. Its description in RNAcentral is "partial 16S ribosomal RNA". It matches the Rfam family "Bacterial small subunit ribosomal RNA", at positions 28 to 507 of the family's 1533-position model. The record is from RNAcentral.